RNAcentral lists this ribosomal RNA (468 nucleotides) under uncultured bacterium. Its description in RNAcentral is "partial 16S ribosomal RNA". It matches the Rfam family "Bacterial small subunit ribosomal RNA", at positions 28 to 507 of the family's 1533-position model. The record is from RNAcentral.
GACGAACGCUGGCGGCGUGCUUAACACAUGCAAGUCGAACGGAAAGGCCCUGCUUUUGUGGGGUGCUCGAUUGGCGAACGGGUGAGUAACACGCGAGUAACCUGCCCUUGACUGUCGGAUAACUUCAGGAAACUGGGGCUAAUAUCGGAUAUGAGCUCCUGCUGCAUGGUGGGGGUUGGAAAGUUUCGGCGGUUGGGGAUGGACUCGCGGCUUAUCAGCUUGUUGGUGGGGUAGUGGCUUACCACGGCUUUGACGGGUAGCCGGCCUGAGAGGGUGACCGGCCACCUUGCGCCUGCGAUACGGCCCAGACUCCUACGGGAGGCAGCAGUGGGGAAUAUUGCACAAUGGGCGGAAGCCUGAUGUAGCAACGCCGCGUGCGGGAUGCCCGCCUACGGGUUGUAAACCGCUUUCGCCUGUGCCGAAGCCUGCGUGACGGUAAUGGGUCAAGAAGCACCGGCUAACUACGUG